Oncorhynchus keta (chum salmon) is the source of this 1087-nucleotide long non-coding RNA. RefSeq lists it as uncharacterized. The record is from RefSeq and is a predicted model, not a curated record. NCBI's taxonomy places the organism in Eukaryota, Metazoa, Chordata, Actinopteri, Salmoniformes, Salmonidae. The transcript has 3 exons.
GGUGUUUCCACUGCUCCAGAGAAGGUGUUUCCACUGCUCCAGAGAAGGUGUUUCCACUGCUCCAGAGAAGGUGUUUCCACUGCUCCAGAGAAGGUGUUUCCACUGCUCCAGAGAAGGUGUUUCCACUGCUCCAGAGAAGGUGUUUCCACUGCUCCAGAGAAGGUGUUUCCACUGCUCCAGAGAAGGUGUUUCCACUGCUCCAGAGAAGGUGUUUCCACUGCUCCAGAGAAGGUGUUUCCACUGCUCCAGAGAAGGUGUUUCCACUGCUCCAGAGAAGGUGUUUCCACUGCUCCAGAGAAGGUGUUUCCACUGCUCCAGAGAAGGUGUUUCCACUGCUCCAGAGAAGGUGUUUCCACUGCUCCAGAGAAGGUGUUUCCACUGCUCCAGAGAAGGUGUUUCCACUGCUCCAGAGAAGGUGUUUCCACUGCUCCAGAGAAGGUGUUUCCACUGCUCCAGAGAAGGUGUUUCCACUGCUCCAGAGAAGGUGUUUCCACUGCUCCAGAGAAGGUGUUUCCAUUGCUCCAGAGAAGGUGUUUCCACUGCUCCAGAGUCCAAUGGCGGCGAGCUUUCCACCGCUCCGACGCUUGGCAUUGCGUAUGGUGAUUUUAGGCAUGUGUGUGGCUGCUCGGACAUGAAGCUCCCAACAAACAGUUCUUGUGCUGACGUUGCUUCCAGAGGCAGUUUUAUUAUUAUUAUUAAUUUAUUUCACCUUUUAGUUAACCAGGGAGGCCAGUUGAGAACAAGUUCUCAUUUACAACUGCGACCUGGCCAAGAUAAAGCAAAGCAGUGCAACAAUAACAACACAUGGGAUAAACAAACGUACAGUCAAUAACACAAUACUUCUUUUCUAUGUACAGUGUGUGCAAAUGUAGUAAGAUUAGGAAGGUAAGGCAGUAAAUAGGGAAUAGAAGCGAAAUAGUUACAAUUUAACAAACACUGGAGUGAUAGAUGUGCAAGUAGAGAUACUGGGGUGCAAAAAAAUUAUAUAUAACAAUAUGGGAAUGAGGUAGUUCGGUGGGCUAUUUACAGAUGGGCUGUGUACGGGUACAUUGGUAAGCUGCUCUGACAGCUGAUUCUUUUUUUUUAU